UACGGAAGGUGCAAGCGUUGCUCGGAUUUACUAGGCGUAAAGAGCGUGUAGGCGGUUAUGUAAGUUGAAUGUGAAAUUUCCUCGCUUAACGAGGAGCCUGCAUUCAAAACUGUAUGACUUGAGUAGGGGAGAGGAGAAUGGAAUUCCUGGUGUAGCGGUGAAAUGCGUAGAUAUCAGGAAGAACACCUAUGGCGAAGGCAGUUCUCUGGCCUCAAACUGACGCUGAGACGCGAAGGCGUGGGGAGCAAACAGGAUUAGAUACCCCCGUA
This 269-nucleotide ribosomal RNA is filed under the name uncultured prokaryote. RNAcentral's name for it is "partial 16S ribosomal RNA". It matches the Rfam family "Bacterial small subunit ribosomal RNA", at positions 524 to 792 of the family's 1533-position model. The record is from RNAcentral.